AAAAACAUAGGGUUCUGCUAAGUCGCAAGACGAUGUAUAGGAGCUGACGCCGGCCCGGUGCUGGAAGGUUAAGGGGAUCGGUUAGAGCAAUCGAAGCAGUGAACUUAAGCCCCAGUAAACGGCGGCCGUAACUAUAACGGUCCUAAGGUAGCGAAAUUCCUUGUCGGGUAAGUUCCGACCCGAACGAAAGGCGUAACGAUUUGGGCACUGUCUCAACAACAGACUCGGUGAAAUUGUAAUUCCGGUGAAGAUGCCGGAUACCUGCGACAGGACGGAAAGACCCCAUGGAGCUUUACUGUAGCUUGACAUUGGGUCUUGGUACUACAUGUACAGGAUAGGU
Molecule: ribosomal RNA, 340 nt
Filed under: Clostridioides difficile
Lineage: Bacteria; Bacillati; Bacillota; Clostridia; Peptostreptococcales; Peptostreptococcaceae
Description: bacterial LSU rRNA
Rfam family: Bacterial large subunit ribosomal RNA
Source: RNAcentral